CAGCCGCCACGGUAAUACGAAGGGGGCUAGCGUUGUUCGGAAUUACUGGGCGUAAAGCGCACGUAGGCGGAUAUUUAAGUCAGGGGUGAAAUCCCAGAGCUCAACUCUGGAACUGCCUUUGAUACUGGGUAUCUUGAGUAUGGAAGAGGUGAGUGGAAUUCCGAGUGUAGAGGUGAAAUUCGUAGAUAUUCGGAGGAACACCAGUGGCGAAGGCGGCUCACUGGUCCAUUACUGACGCUGAGGUGCGAAAGCGUGGGGAGCAAACAGGAUUAGAUACCCGUGUAGUCCCUGUCUCUUAUAC
This 301-nucleotide ribosomal RNA is filed under the name uncultured bacterium. RNAcentral's name for it is "partial 16S ribosomal RNA". It matches the Rfam family "Bacterial small subunit ribosomal RNA", at positions 509 to 807 of the family's 1533-position model. The record is from RNAcentral.